GCGGAUGUGGUGGAACUGGUAGACACGCAGCCUUGAGGGGGCUGUGGGGGAAACCCCGUAGGAGUUCGACUCUCCUCUUCCGCACCA
This 87-nucleotide transfer RNA is filed under the name bacterium. Its description in RNAcentral is "tRNA-Leu". It matches the Rfam family "tRNA". From Rfam's summary of the family: Transfer RNA (tRNA) molecules are approximately 80 nucleotides in length. Their secondary structure includes four short double-helical elements and three loops (D, anti-codon, and T loops). The record is from RNAcentral.